This 253-nucleotide ribosomal RNA is filed under the name uncultured bacterium. RNAcentral describes it as "partial 16S ribosomal RNA". It matches the Rfam family "Bacterial small subunit ribosomal RNA", at positions 524 to 776 of the family's 1533-position model. The record is from RNAcentral.
UACGUAGGGUGCGAGCGUUAAUCGGAAUUACUGGGCGUAAAGCGUGCGCAGGCGGUUUUGUAAGACAGGUGUGAAAUCCCCGGGCUUAACCUGGGAACUGCAUUUGUGACUGCAAGGCUAGAGUGUAGCAGAGGGGGGUAGAAUUCCACGUGUAGCAGUGAAAUGCGUAGAUAUGUGGAGGAACAUCAGUGGCGAAGGCGGCUUCCUGGCUUAAAACUGACACUGUGGCGCGAAAGCGUGGGUAGCAAACAGG